RNAcentral lists this unclassified non-coding RNA (875 nucleotides) under Hevea brasiliensis (rubber tree). Lineage: Eukaryota; Viridiplantae; Streptophyta; Magnoliopsida; Malpighiales; Euphorbiaceae. The record is from RNAcentral.
AAACAAAAGAAAAGAAAAUAAAACAAAGGUAAAAAGAAUCCAUAAUAUGGCUGUUCACAAACAAGUUAGUUUCCUUGCUUACCUACUACUUGUUGUUGGAUUAUUGCUACUUGUAAGCGCGGUGGAACAUGUUGAUGCCAAGCCUUGUACUAUGGAAUGUGGUCAUCUUGGGUUUGGGAUAUGCCCACGUUCACAAGGAAGUCCGCAGAAUCCCAUAUGCACCAAUUGUUGUUCAGGUUUUAAAGGUUGCAAUUAUUAUAGUGUUAAUGGGACUUUUAUUUGUGAAGGACAAUCUGACCCAAGAAAACCAAAACCUUGCCCCUUAAAUUGUGAUCCACAUAUUGCCUAUUCAAAGUGUCCCCGUUCAGGAGGAAAGACGUUUAUUUAUCCCACUGGAUGUACCACGUGUUGCACGGGAUACAAAGGUUGCUACUAUUUCGGUAAAGAUGGCAAGUUUGUUUGUGAAGGAGAGAGUGAUGAACCCAAGGCAUGUACCAUGGAAUGUGACCCUAGAGUUGCAUACAUGAUUUGUCCAUCUUCUGGAUUGGCCAAACUUAGCCAAGUUUGUGUUAAUUGUUGCACUGCAGGGGACGGUUGCAAACUCUAUGGAUAUGAUGGAUCUUUAAUUUGUACUGGGGAGCCUCAGAGCUACAUAUCUACAGCAUAAGGCAUGAUGCAUCAUCAAUAAUAUGUGUUGUACUUUUUAAUUUAUAAUGUAUGAAAUAAAAGGAUGGCAUGCUAAUCACUAUAAUGUGGGCAUCAAAGUUGUGUUAUGUGUAACUACUUAUUAUUUGAAUAAAAGAAAAAGAUCAUCCAUAAUUAUAUUGAGGACUUGGCUCCUCUCUAUGGGUGAUCUCCUUUGGUCUUAUCCAUAG